Oncorhynchus keta (chum salmon) is the source of this 3028-nucleotide long non-coding RNA. RefSeq lists it as uncharacterized. NCBI's taxonomy places the organism in Eukaryota, Metazoa, Chordata, Actinopteri, Salmoniformes, Salmonidae. The record is from RefSeq and is a predicted model, not a curated record. The transcript is spliced from 4 exons.
AUGGGCAGUUCUGGCUGGGACGAGGCUUAUGGGCAGUUCUGGCUGGGACGAGGCUUAUGGGCAGUUCUGGCUGGGACGAGGCUUAUGGGCAGUUCUGGCUGGGACGAGGCUUAUGGGCAGUUCUGGCUGGGACGAGGCUUAUGGGCAGUUCUGGCUGGGACGAGGCUUACUUAGCUAUAGCAAAACAUUUACACAUAUUUAGUUUGUGUGUUUGUGUAUCGGGUCUAAACUGGAGGUUCAGGAUGGGGCAUGACUGGACUGGAAGUGUUGGAAUUCCUUAGCUGGAAUUCUGGGACAUUUUGGGGGGAGGGGAGAGAGGGAGAGUUAGAGAGAAAGGUGAGGGGGGGUAGAGGGAGGAGAAGAAGAAGAAGAAGAAGAGAUUGAUGGGAGUGAAAAGUUUGAAUCCUUCUAAAAAAAUAGCAGGAACUUGUUUGAGCAUGUACUUUAUAUUUUCCUGUCUCCCCUCUCUGAGGGUGUGUAUAAUUAAAAAAUGUUCAUAUAUACUGUAUCAUAAGAAAUACUGCAGUCAUCCACGAGAUAUUUUUCUAUUUACAUAGAUGAUGUAAAUACGGCUAGUUAAUGUAAAUACGGCUAGUUAAUGUAAAUACGGCUAGUUAAUGUAAAUACGUCUAGUUAAUGUAAAUACGGCUAGUUAAUGUAAAUACGGCUAGUUAGGCUGUAGGUGACAGGGUCCGUGAGGCUGUAGGUGACAGGGUCCGUGAGGCUGUAGGUGACUGGGUCCGCGAGGCUGUAGGUGACUGGGUCCGCGAGGCUGUAGGUGACUGGGUCCGCGAGGCUGUAGGUGACUGGGUCCGCGAGGCUGUAGGUGACUGGGUCCGCGAGGCUGUAGGUGACUGGGUCCGCGAGGCUGUAGGUGACUGGGUCCGCGAGGCUGUAGGUGACUGGGUCCGCGAGGCUGUAGGUGACUGGGUCCGCGAGGCUGUAGGUGACUGGGUCCGCGAGGCUGUAGGUGACUGGGUCCGCGAGGCUGUAGGUGACUGGGUCCGCGAGGCUGUAGGUGACUGGGUCCGCGAGGCUGUAGGUGACUGGGUCCGCGAGGCUGUAGGUGACUGGGUCCGCGAGGCUGUAGGUGACUGGGUCCGCGAGGCUGUAGGUGACUGGGUCCGCGAGGCUGUAGGUGACUGGGUCCGCGAGGCUGUAGGUGACUGGGUCCGCGAGGCUGUAGGUGACUGGGUCCGCGAGGCUGUAGGUGACUGGGUCCGCGAGGCUGUAGGUGACUGGGUCCGCGAGGCUGUAGGUGACUGGGUCCGCGAGGCUGUAGGUGACUGGGUCCGCGAGGCUGUAGGUGACUGGGUCCGCGAGGCUGUAGGUGACUGGGUCCGCGAGGCUGUAGGUGACUGGGUCCGCGAGGCUGUAGGUGACUGGGUCUGCGAGGCUGUUUGCACACCAGUGAGUUGAGUUAACUUUGUAGUGCGUCUAGCUCAGGGCUGCCCAACCCUGUUCCUGGAGAAUUUAGUACAUCUGAUUGUACUUAUUAGCUGACCCUGACCUUUAUUAACUGACCCUGACCUUUAUUAGCUGACCCUGACCUUUAUUAGCUGACCCUGACCUUUAUUAGCUGACCCUGACCUGUAUUAGCUGACCCUGACCUUUAUUAGCUGACCUUUAUUAGCUGACCUUUAUUAGCUGACCUUUAUUAGCUGACCCUGACCUUUAUUAGCUGACCUUUAUUAGCUGACCUUUAUUAGCUGACCCUGGCCUUUAUUAGCUGACCCUGACCUUUAUUAGCUGACCCUGACCUUUAUUAGCUGACCUUUAUUAGCUGACCCUGACCUUUAUUAGCUGACCCUGACCUUUAUUAGCUGACCUUUAUUAGCUGACCUUGACCUUUAUUAGCUGACCUUUAUUAGCUGACCCUGACCUUUAUUAGCUGACCCUGACCUUUAUUAGCUGACCUUUAUUAGCUGACCCUGACCUUUAUUAGCUGACCUUUAUUAGCUGACCCAGACCUUUAUUAGCUGACCUUUAUUAGCUGACCUUGACCUUUAUUAGCUGACCUUUAUUCGCUGACCCUGACCUUGGUUGUGUUCCCCUACUCGGACUUUGCAUUCAUCAACCAAUGGUUGUGCCACGUCAUCGACAGUGCAGUCAGACACCAGAUUGCUCUAACAUUAUGUGUUUAGCGGAUAGAUAAAAUACCUAUCCAGGCGUAAGAUCUCGAAUGUGUCAGAAACAUUAAGCAGGGAAACAACCCUUGUCUAGCUGAAUCAGAUUCGUUAGGUUAUGGUUGGACUAACCCUACAGUACAGAAGGGUAGAUCUCCAGGAACAGGGUAGAUGUCCAGGAACAGGGUAGAUGUCCAGGAACAGGGUAGAUGUCCAGGAACAGGGUAGAUGUCCAGGAACAGGGUAGAUGUCCAGGAACAGGGUAGAUGUCCAGGAACAGGGUAGAUGUCCAGGAACAGGGUAGAUGUCCAGGAACAGGGUAGAUGUCCAGGAACAGAGUAGAUCUCCAGGAACAGAGUAGAUCUCCAGGAACAGAGUAGAUCUCCAGGGACAGGGUAGAUCUCCAGGGACAGGGUAGAUCUCCAGGGACAGGGUAGAUCUCCAGGGACAGGGUAGAUCUCCAGGGACAGGGUAGAUCUCCAGGGACAGGGUAGAUCUCCAGGGACAGGGUAGAUCUCCAGGGACAGGGUAGAUCCCCAGCUGUAGAAUAACUCUACUACCACUAGGUGGCACUGCAGGGUGUUGACGGCAACAGAGACAGGAGUAGCAGUGGCAAUGUGCAUUGAAUGUGACUGUUAGUGAAAUGAGUGAGCUUCUGCAUAGCUUGAUGAUGAGUUGAUUAGUGAACUCAGCUGUGUAGUGCGAAGGCACAAACAAAAAUGUCCCUCUGUCACCCUCUCUCCAACUUUUCUACCAUGUGUAAUGUGCAUACUGAAUGUCUGUAGACCAUUGAAAUGUAUGAGGGAUGCAGCCAGUCCUCCAGGUUGUGCAGCAGCUCCUACAUUAUUUGAUGAGAACUCUGAUGGGUCUGUGUGUUUUUAUGACAAAGUAUUGAUUCCCUC